CCCUUCCGACUCUACAAUUCUAUGAUUCUAAGAAUAUUGCAUAAUUUACAGUAGGACGGCUUGCAUCCCACUCUGGCUGAUACCAUUGCAGAGAGUACACAGUUCCCUCUGUAUCCACUUCCAAACCAUCUAUAGGCCUGGGAGGCCAUAUAAGCAUGAGGAUGAACACAAUCACCUGUGAAUGACAGUUCUUGGGAGAGAUUUCAGAGAUGGAGGUUUUCCAUGUUUCAUGCAUUUCCACAUGGCUUGCAAAAGGUUCAGCUGCUUUCUUUUGAACUCUCCGCUUUGCCUUCUGCAGUAAGGAUUCAAAGGAGCUGAUUGUGAUGGGGAACACAAUUGAGGUUACCUUAAAAAAAAGUUUCCUAAAUAAAACUGGUAAAACAA
Long non-coding RNA from Podarcis raffonei (Aeolian wall lizard), 384 nucleotides. RefSeq lists it as uncharacterized. Lineage: Eukaryota; Metazoa; Chordata; Lepidosauria; Squamata; Lacertidae. The transcript has 2 exons. The record is from RefSeq and is a predicted model, not a curated record.